UACGUAGGGGGCGAGCGUUGUCCGGAGUUACUGGGCGUAAAGGGCAUGUAGGCGGUGCUGCGCGUUUCGCGUGACAGCGGGUGGCUUAACUGCCCGAGGAUGCGAAAGACGGCAGGACUUGAGGGCCAGAGAGGGACACGGAAUUCCGGGUGGAGUGGUGAAAUGCGUAGAGAUCCGGAGGAACACCGAAGGCGAAGGCAGUGUCCUGGCUGGUGACUGACGCUGAGGUGCGAAAGCCAGGGGAGCGAACGGG
RNAcentral lists this ribosomal RNA (253 nucleotides) under uncultured Ktedonobacter sp. RNAcentral's name for it is "partial 16S ribosomal RNA". It matches the Rfam family "Bacterial small subunit ribosomal RNA", at positions 524 to 776 of the family's 1533-position model. Lineage: Bacteria; Bacillati; Chloroflexota; Ktedonobacteria; Ktedonobacterales; Ktedonobacteraceae. The record is from RNAcentral.